GUUUAAGCAGCCGCGGUAAUACAGAGGUCCCAAGCGUUGUUCGGAUUCACUGGGCGUAAAGGGUGCGCAGGUGGGCUGGUAAGUUCGAUGUGAAAGCCCCGGGCUUAACCCGGGAAUGGCAUUGGAUACUACUGGUCUGGAGGAUCGGAGGGGGGACUGGAAUUCUUGGUGUAGCAGUGAAAUGCGUAGAUAUCAAGAGGAACACCAGUGGCGAAGGCGAGUCCCUGGACGAUACCUGACACUGAGGCACGAAAGCCAAGGGAGCAAACAGGAUUAGAUACCCCCGUAGUCC
Molecule: ribosomal RNA, 292 nt
Filed under: uncultured bacterium
Lineage: Bacteria
Description: partial 16S ribosomal RNA
Rfam family: Bacterial small subunit ribosomal RNA
Source: RNAcentral